AUCUACGGUCAUAGAAUCUAGAAAACGCCGCAUCCCGUCUGCUCUGCGUAGCUUUAAGCUGGAUAUCGCUCGGUUAGUACCAAAGUGGGGGACCAUUUGGGAAUCCCGAGUACUGUAGUUG
Kwoniella mangroviensis CBS 10435 is the source of this 121-nucleotide ribosomal RNA. The record is from Rfam. NCBI's taxonomy places the organism in Eukaryota, Fungi, Basidiomycota, Tremellomycetes, Tremellales, Cryptococcaceae.